GCGGGAAUAGCUCAGUUGGUAGAGCACGACCUUGCCAAGGUCGGGGUUGCGAGUUCGAGUCUCGUUUCCCGCUCCA
This 76-nucleotide transfer RNA is filed under the name Klebsiella aerogenes. RNAcentral's name for it is "tRNA-Gly". It matches the Rfam family "tRNA". From Rfam's summary of the family: Transfer RNA (tRNA) molecules are approximately 80 nucleotides in length. The record is from RNAcentral. Lineage: Bacteria; Pseudomonadati; Pseudomonadota; Gammaproteobacteria; Enterobacterales; Enterobacteriaceae. RNAcentral also lists the same sequence under 13 other names.